RNAcentral lists this ribosomal RNA (498 nucleotides) under Salphinginae sp. UPOL ZL0170. Its description in RNAcentral is "partial 16S ribosomal RNA". The stretch from base 372 to 498 matches the Rfam family "Archaeal large subunit ribosomal RNA", at positions 2542 to 2669 of the family's 2987-position model. The record is from RNAcentral. Lineage: Eukaryota; Metazoa; Arthropoda; Insecta; Coleoptera; Salpingidae.
UUUAAAGUCUGGCCUGCCCAAUGAUAAAUGAGUUUAAUGGCCGCAGUAUUUUGACUGUGCGAAGGUAGCAUAAUCAUUAGUUUUUUAAUUGAAAGCUGGAAUGAAGGGUUUGAUGAAAAAAUAACUUUCUAAAUUUUAUUAAAGUAAAAUUUUAUUUUUAAGUUAAAAAGCUUAAAUAUUUUAAAAAGACGAGAAGACCCUAUAGAGUUUAAUUUUUAUUUUUAUAUUAAAUUUUUUAGAAAUUAAAAUUUUUAUAUUAAUAAAAAUUUAAUUGGGGUGAUUUAAAAAUUAAUUAAACUUUUUAUUAAUUAAAACAUUAAUAUAUGAAAAAUUGAUCCUUUUUAAAGAUUAAAAGAAAAAAUUACCUUAGGGAUAACAGCGUAAUUUUUUUUUAGAGUUCAAAUCAAAAAAAGAGAUUGCGACCUCGAUGUUGGAUUAAAAUUUAAAUUUGGUGUAGAAGCUAAGUUUUUAAGUCUGUUCGACUUUUAAAAUUUUACA